Long non-coding RNA from Spea bombifrons (plains spadefoot toad), 185 nucleotides. RefSeq lists it as uncharacterized. Lineage: Eukaryota; Metazoa; Chordata; Amphibia; Anura; Pelobatidae. The record is from RefSeq and is a predicted model, not a curated record. The transcript is spliced from 2 exons.
AAAGGUGCUGUUCCAGACAAAGCACUCUCUUAUUAAGAAAUACAGAAAUACAAAAAAACCCACAAACAUUAAAGAUAUUGUCUUUGUAUGGCAACAACCAUCUGCUUUUGUCCCACACGGCACUUAAGAGUCCCUGGCAAAAUCUUGAAUGAGGCAAAAUUGUGCUUCAUUUAUUUUUGCAUUUU